AUGUGCUAUUUUCUAACGCCGCCGCCGCCGCCGCCUGGCUGCGGCGUAACGGGGUGGGGGGAGAGAGAGAAGGAGGUGAGGGGGCUGAUAAAAUUAGCUCAGCAUGUCUGCACUGGAAGGGAGGGAAGAAGGCCCCGGGAGCGGCCGGCCUUGGAAUGGGAGGCGAGUCGCUGGAGCUGCUUUUGCAUCUCCGGGUCCCCAAGUCCUAGAGAUGGGCUCAGACUAGAGCCGGGAGGAGGAGGAGGAGGAGGAGACACCCAGAAUCAUUCUUCCGUGUACAAAAAUCAUUUGGGAUGGCAUUUCAUAUUCCACCUUGUUCAUAAUCUGACCAUCUGUCAAUUAUUUUGCUUCCUCCAGUCAAGUGGGAGAAGAAAUAAAGAACACUGCAGUCAGAAGAAAUCUUCAAAACUGAACCGAUCUCUGAAUACUGGCUGGCUGUGAUCACCAUGCCAUGCAGCAUCCAGAGGCAUCGUAUUGUCCAUACUCUGCUGGAAGCAGAGUAUGGAGACUGAGGAACCCAGACUGAGCUUCUUGUGUCAGACAUCACCUUCUUUUGUUCUCUCAUAACCUCUUUUUCAAAACCCAUUAACCUGCCAGUCACUUCAUUUAUUUAUGACAUAAAUGUAUAUCCUGCAUACAACUCAAAGUGAUAUAUGCAAGAUUUUUUGCAGUCUGACUUCCAGGCAUUUCACAGACCCAAACUAGCUUAGCUUCAGUUAAGCAGCUAUAUCAUAAGGAAAUGUUAGACCUUCUCUUUGAUCAGCCUUCUGAGCCACUCUCUCCUCCAUCGUUAUUACAUGAUUUCUGCUUAGUGCUUUGUGCUCAUUUUCUAAAACAAGAGCUUCUGAGCUUCACAGAGAUUGCUGGAUAGCUCAGUGAGUUGGGACGUGUCAAGGGGAACCUUUACCUUUACCUUUUUCUGAGCUUCACAGAGAUUGCUAGAUAGCUCAGUGAGUUGGAGUACCUGGCUGCAGAGCAAAGCCAGGAAUUUGGAUGUGCUUCCCAGAAGAGUCAGGAAGCAUAUGUAGGCUUGGGUAAACUACACAGUCCCAGAGUGCCACUGGAAGAAAGAUGUACCUAGGAAACCCUGAUGAGAGUUGCCAUGUGUCCAAAUGGAUGACACAUAAUUAUCAUAAACCACACAGGGUUGUGACUAGGUCUAUAACCAAGGGCCCCAAAAUUUAGAGAGUGUGAAGUUUGCUACUGGAUAGAAGAUGCUCUGAUGCCUGUUGGAAAGUUGUGAACCCAUCUUCCCCAAAUUGCUAUGUUCUAGCUCCUCCUUCAGAGAAAGACAGAAACACAAAAUAGGCUGGCUUCAUGCAGAACCAAUAUGACCAUUAUGUGUUCAUAUACACUCAUAUCCAGGCGUUUUUCCUCAUUCCGCCAUCUCUUUCUGCAUAUACAAAUCUGUGUGACAUAAGCUUAACCAACAAGGAAGCAAAAUCACAGUCAUCAAAAGUGCUAUGAGCCAUACAUAUAAAACUGGAUGCUCUCUCUCCAGUAUCACAAUUAAAUGGAUGCUGGCUGUAGUUUCUUUCCUUCAUUCCUUUUUUUAAAUGACAAAACCUCUGCAAGUUUAGAGAUAUUCUGUUUUAUUAAUUUUCCAGAACUGAUUCCUGAAAAUAGAAAUACAUAGGAGAAAAUUGUCCCAUAAAAUGAUCCCUCCAACACAACUAUAUAUGGCAAAAGGUCCCUUAGGAAUUUUGUAUAGCACAGGAAUUUUGUGUAGUGCAGAGACUCACUGUGAACCUCUGUUAAAAUUGUUUUACCUCAGCCUUUGUUCCAAGUUUCUAUACAUUAGAAUCAUAACAUGCUUGUUUCUAAAAUAUUUACUGCAACAGACUUAUCUGGUUUCAGAAAAAUCACCUUUUCAUUAGGAGGUGAGUAAUAAAAAAGACAUGAAAUUUAAUGUAUCGAAUUCU
Long non-coding RNA from Pogona vitticeps (central bearded dragon), 1922 nucleotides. Lineage: Eukaryota; Metazoa; Chordata; Lepidosauria; Squamata; Agamidae. The record is from Ensembl.